GACGAACGCUGGCGGCGUGCUUAACACAUGCAAGUCGAACGGAAAGGCCCUGCUUUUGUGGGGUGCUCGAGUGGCGAACGGGUGAGUAACACGUGAGUAACCUGCCCUUGACUUUGGGAUAACUUCAGGAAACUGGGGCUAAUACCGGAUAGGAGCUCCUGCUGCAUGGGGGGGGUUGGAAAGUUUCGGCGGUUGGGGAUGGACUCGCGGCUUAUCAGCUGGUUGGUGGGGUAGUGGCUUACCAAGGCUUUGACGGGUGGCCGGCCUGAGAGGGUGACCGGGCACAUUGGGACUGAGAUACGGCCCAGACUCCUACGGGAGGCAGCAGUGGGGAAUAUUGCACAAUGGGCGGAAGCCUGAUGCAGCAACGCCGCGUGCGGGAUGACGGCCUUCGGGUUGUAAACCGCUUUCGCCUGUGACGAAGCGUGAGUGACGGUAAUGGGUAAAGAAGCACCGGCUAACUACGUG
This 468-nucleotide ribosomal RNA is filed under the name uncultured bacterium. RNAcentral describes it as "partial 16S ribosomal RNA". It matches the Rfam family "Bacterial small subunit ribosomal RNA", at positions 28 to 507 of the family's 1533-position model. The record is from RNAcentral.